Molecule: ribosomal RNA, 655 nt
Filed under: uncultured Carnobacteriaceae bacterium
Lineage: Bacteria; Bacillati; Bacillota; Bacilli; Lactobacillales; Carnobacteriaceae
Description: bacterial SSU rRNA
Rfam family: Bacterial small subunit ribosomal RNA
Source: RNAcentral
CUUUUCUAUGGAAGCUUGCUUCCACUGAGAAGAUAGUGGCGGACGGGUGAGUAACACGUGGGUAACCUGCCCAUAAGAGGGGGAUAACAUCCGGAAACGGGUGCUAAUACCGCAUAGUUUUCUUGAUCGCAUGAUUGAGAAAGGAAAGACGGCCUUUGUGCUGUCGCUUAUGGAUGGACCCGCGGCGUAUUAGUUAGUUGGUGAGGUAACGGCUCACCAAGACGAUGAUACGUAGCCGACCUGAGAGGGUGAUCGGCCACAUUGGGACUGAGACACGGCCCAAACUCCUACGGGAGGCAGCAGUAGGGAAUCUUCCGCAAUGGACGAAAGUCUGACGGAGCAACGCCGCGUGAGUGAAGAAGGUUUUCGGAUCGUAAAACUCUGUUGUCAGAGAAGAACAAGUCGGAGAGUAACUGCUCCGGCCUUGACGGUAUCUGACCAGAAAGCCACGGCUAACUACGUGCCAGCAGCCGCGGUAAUACGUAGGUGGCAAGCGUUGUCCGGAUUUAUUGGGCGUAAAGCGAGCGCAGGCGGUUCCUUAAGUCUGAUGUGAAAGCCCACGGCUCAACCGUGGAAGGUCAUUGGAAACUGGGGAACUUGAGUGCAGAAGAGGAGAGUGGAAUUCCAUGUGUAGCGGUGAAAUGCGUAGAUAUAU